Long non-coding RNA from Polypterus senegalus (gray bichir), 739 nucleotides. RefSeq lists it as uncharacterized. The transcript is spliced from 2 exons. The record is from RefSeq and is a predicted model, not a curated record. Lineage: Eukaryota; Metazoa; Chordata; Cladistia; Polypteriformes; Polypteridae.
AGCUCACAACCAGUCAGAAUGGAAGAUGCCAUUGACACUCUGGUGAAAAUGUUCAAGGACUAUGCCAAGUCCGAUUCAAAGGCUGACACACUAAGCAAAGACGAGCUUGAGAAUAUGGUGAAUAAAGAACUUCCUUUUAUCAAGAAGGGACUAGGCCAAGGAGGAAUAGAUGAACUGCUCAGGGCAUCAGAUGAGAAUAACGAUGAGGAGUUGAAUUUUGAAGAGUUCUGGACGAUGGUUGGCAAACAAAUCAUCUUAUACAAAUUCUAAGGGAAACAAGCAACUUUAUUAAAUAUCUACAGGAAGAUGAACCUUUGUUUUAUUAUCUGUGUCUCUUCUUCAUAUUUCUGUAAUGUAAACUGUGAUAGGACCCAUCUUGUAGUCUAGACCUCAUUUAGAGAUGAUCAAGAAAUGGCCGGGUUUGGGCAUGUCCUCUGAUGACGGUACUCUUCUGGGGCUUCUAUUUACUUCUACUAUUAGACUUGUUUUGUGUAUUGCAGGGGUUCAAAUCAAACUUCAAUCAAACUUUGAGAAAUCCUGUACUAUGUUUUAUUUGACAUUACUUAGGUGAUGUAAUUGCUUUCAUAGCCUUAUAAAGGUUUUUCGGGUUUAUUUUAUAUGUCAGUGUUGUUUAAAACAAAAUGUGCUGGAUAAAUAUGGAGCUUGCAAAGGAUUUUAUGUGUUAAACAUUGAUGACAGUGUGCUAGAGGACUACAAUAAAUCACAUUUUAUUACAAAA